RNAcentral lists this unclassified non-coding RNA (224 nucleotides) under Bacillus sp. (in: firmicutes). Its description in RNAcentral is "Bacillus sp. (in: Bacteria) contains 16S-23S intergenic spacer region". Lineage: Bacteria; Bacillati; Bacillota; Bacilli; Caryophanales; Bacillaceae. The record is from RNAcentral.
UCCGGUUUGUCACCGGCAGUCACCUUAGAGUGCCCAACUGAAUGCUGGCAACUAAGAUCAAGGGUUGCGCUCGUUGCGGGACUUAACCCAACAUCUCACGACACGAGCUGACGACAACCAUGCACCACCUGUCACUCUGUCCCCCGAAGGGGAACGUCCUAUCUCUAGGAGUGUCAGAGGAUGUCAAGACCUGGUAAGGUGGGGAUGACGUUUCUAGGAGGGUG